GCACAAGGAACAAAAUGCUGACUUAUGCAACACUCUGCUUGUCGGCCAUGCAUCACAACUGGCUCCAACUUGGCAAUCCAAUCCAUGCUACCAGCGGGUAUCAGGUUACAUCAAGUUUUAUCUCAAACAAUAUGUGUUUAGAAGAAAAAGAUGCAUGUGAAAAUUAUAUCAGCAAUUUGAGCCAUCAGUUAAAAAAUAUUGUUGAGCGAC
RNAcentral lists this long non-coding RNA (210 nucleotides) under Elaeis guineensis (African oil palm). Its description in RNAcentral is "long non-coding RNA (EGUI_LNC005767)". The record is from RNAcentral. Lineage: Eukaryota; Viridiplantae; Streptophyta; Magnoliopsida; Arecales; Arecaceae.